AUUGAACGCUGGCGGCAUGCCUUACACAUGCAAGUCGAACGGUAACAGGUCUUCGGAUGCUGACGAGUGGCGAACAGGUGAGUAAUACAUCGGAACGUGCCCGAUCGUGGGGGAUAACGAGGCGAAAGCUUUGCUAAUACCGCAUACGAUCUACGGAUGAAAGCGGGGGAUCUUCGGACCUCGUGCGGACGGAGCGGCCGAUGGCAGAUUAGGUAGUUGGUGGGAUAAAAGCUUACCAAGCCGACGAUCUGUAGCUGGUCUGAGAGGAUGAUCAGCCACACUGGGACUGAGACACGGCCCAGACUCCUACGGGAGGCAGCAGUGGGGAAUUUUGGACAAUGGCGAAAACCUGAUCCAGCCAUGCCGCGUGCAGGAUGAAGGCCUUCGGGUUGUAAACUGCUUUUGUACGGAACGAAAAGCCUCUUUCUAAUAAAGAGGGGUCAUGACGGUACCGUAAGAAUAAGCACCGGCUAACUACGUGCCAGCCGCCGCCGUAA
This 497-nucleotide ribosomal RNA is filed under the name uncultured bacterium. RNAcentral describes it as "partial 16S ribosomal RNA". It matches the Rfam family "Bacterial small subunit ribosomal RNA", at positions 30 to 523 of the family's 1533-position model. The record is from RNAcentral.